GGCGGGAGGAGAGUCGGCGGCCGGAGCCGUCACCCCGGGCGGGGACCCAGCGCAGGCAACUCCGCGCGGCGGCCCGGCCGAGGGAGGGAGCGAGCGGGCGGGCGGGCAAGCCAGACAGCGGGGCCGGAGCAGCCGCGGGCGCCCGAGGGGCCGAGCAAGAUUGUAAACCAUGGCUGUGUGGAUACAAGCUCAGCAGCUCCAAGGAGAAGCCCUUCAUCAGAUGCAAGCGUUGUAUGGCCAGCAUUUUCCCAUUGAGGUGCGGCAUUAUUUAUCCCAGUGGAUUGAAAGCCAAGCAUGGGACUCAAUAGAUCUUGAUAAUCCACAGGAGAACAUUAAGGCCACCCAGCUCCUGGAGGGCCUGGUGCAGGAGCUGCAGAAGAAGGCAGAGCACCAGGUGGGGGAAGAUGGGUUUUUACUGAAGAUCAAGCUGGGGCACUACGCCACGCAGCUCCAGAACACGUAUGACCGCUGCCCCAUGGAGCUGGUCCGCUGCAUCCGCCAUAUAUUGUACAAUGAACAGAGGUUGGUCCGAGAAGCUAACAAUGGUAGCUCUCCAGCUGGAAGCCUUGCUGAUGCCAUGUCCCAGAAACACCUCCAGAUCAACCAGACAUUUGAGGAGCUGCGACUGGUCACGCAGGACACAGAGAAUGAGUUAAAAAAGCUGCAGCAGACUCAGGAGUACUUCAUCAUCCAGUACCAGGAAAGCCUAAGGAUCCAAGCUCAGUUUGGCCCGCUGGCCCAGCUGAGCCCCCAGGAGCGUCUGAGCCGGGAGACGGCCCUCCAGCAGAAGCAGGUGUCUCUGGAGGCCUGGUUGCAGCGUGAGGCACAGACGCUGCAGCAGUACCGCGUGGAGCUGGCCGAGAAGCACCAGAAGACCCUGCAGCUGCUGCGGAAGCAGCAGACCAUCAUCCUGGAUGACGAGCUGAUCCAGUGGAAGCGGCGGCAGCAACUGGCCGGGAACGGCGGGCCCCCCGAAGGCAGCCUGGACGUGCUACAGUCCUGGUGUGAGAAGUUGGCCGAGAUCAUCUGGCAGAACCGGCAGCAGAUCCGCAGGGCCGAGCACCUCUGCCAGCAGCUGCCCAUCCCCGGCCCAGUGGAGGAGAUGCUGGCCGAGGUCAACGCCACCAUCACGGACAUCAUCUCAGCCCUGGUGACCAGCACAUUCAUCAUUGAGAAGCAGCCUCCUCAGGUCCUGAAGACCCAGACCAAGUUUGCAGCCACUGUGCGCCUGCUGGUGGGCGGGAAGCUGAACGUGCACAUGAACCCCCCCCAGGUGAAGGCCACCAUCAUCAGUGAGCAGCAGGCCAAGUCUCUGCUCAAGAACGAGAACACCCGCAAGUAAUUGUGCAGCUUCUUCUCGUUCCCUGCUACUUGUCUCAUGUCCUGGCAACAGGAAAAAAAGAAUUCUGCCUCCUGUGUCAGAUCCCUGUUUGCCCUUCUGGCCUCUUCUGGGCAUCAGCAAAGGAAUAUAAGGAAGUUCUUGGGCCUGGCGCGGUGGCUCACACCUGUAAUCCCAGCACUUUAGGAGGCCGAGGUGGGCAGAUCACCUGAGGUCAGGAGUUCAAGACCAGCCUGGCCAACAUGGUGAAACCCCGUCUCUACUAAAAAUACAAAAAAAAUUAGCCGGGCGUGAUGGCAGGCACCUGUAAUCCCAGCUACUCGAGAGCCUGAGGCAGGAGAAUCCCUUGAACCCGGGAGGCAGAGAUUGCAGUGAGCCGAGAUCACGCCACUGCACUCCAGCCUGAGCAACAAGAGCAAAACUCCGUCACAAAAAAAAAAAAAAAAA
Molecule: small RNA, 1786 nt
Filed under: Pongo abelii (Sumatran orangutan)
Lineage: Eukaryota; Metazoa; Chordata; Mammalia; Primates; Hominidae
Description: retained intron
Source: RNAcentral